UACAGAGGUCUCAAGCGUUGUUCGGAUUCAUUGGGCGUAAAGGGUGCGUAGGCGGCGCGGUAAGUCGGGUGUGAAAUCUCGGAGCUUAACUCCGAAACUGCAUUCGAUACUGCCGUGCUUGAGGACUGGAGAGGAGACUGGAAUUUACGGUGUAGCGGUGAAAUGCGUAGAUAUCGUAAGGAAGACCAGUGGCGAAGGCGGGUCUCUGGACAGUUCCUGACGUGAGGCACGAAGGUCAGGGGGAGCAAACGGGG
This 254-nucleotide ribosomal RNA is filed under the name uncultured bacterium. RNAcentral's name for it is "partial 16S ribosomal RNA". It matches the Rfam family "Bacterial small subunit ribosomal RNA", at positions 524 to 777 of the family's 1533-position model. The record is from RNAcentral.